GAAUUUCAAAAGGGUAGUGGUGGCUACUCUGUUCAAUGUUGGUAGAGAUUAGGGAAUAACAAAAGUAAUAAAAAUUUAUUGGGGAGGCUGCAAGAUGGCUCAGUGGGUUAAGGUGCUUCCACCCUGCCUGGUAACCCACAUACAAGUAGAGACAAAGAACUGACUCUGCAGAGCUGCCUCUGAGCUCUACAUAUACACCAUGGUAUGCAUACACAUGCACACACACACACGCACACACACACACACAUGCACUUAAACAUGCAAGUGAGUACAUACACAUAUACACACAGUAAUCAUUUUCAUAUAAAUUUAUUGAAAGGUGAAAGCAAGGAUACAAAUAUUUGUCUACUUGUGUUGGUAAAAGUAUCGUUCACAAGAUCUAAAAGGUGGAAAGCAAUCAAAAUGUUUCUUAAUGGGUGAAUGGAUAAAAAUGUGUAUAUAUACAUACGUGUGUAUAUAUAUGUGUGUGUGUAUGUAUAUGUAUGUAUGUGUAUAUAUGGAACAUGUUUCAUCCUCAAAAAGGAAGAAAAUCUGGACACGUGUUACAAAAUAGAUGAGCUUGGUAAUACUAUGCUAAGUGAAAUAAGCAAUUAGGAAAAGAAGUGUAUCAUCUCACUUACCUGGAGUGGUCAUGUCAUAGAGACAAAGCACAGCGACCAAGAGUGGGGAAUAAGGACUUGUUCUUAAGUAUCACUGGAUUUCAGGUGACACACUUCUUUUGAAGUGAUAGAGUAUGCUGGUUACACAGCAGUGGGCUUGGUGCCAGUGUGUUCAGUUAAUGGUGUGAGGGCAAGGAUGUCACCUAUAGUCCUAGAGUACCUACCUAGUGUGCUUCAGGUUCUGGACUCCUUCUUCAGAACCGUGUACAAAGCAGUCAUUUGUUCUAAGUGUUGGGAGAUAAAGUUAAGAGAAUCCUCAGAAAGUAAGGUGAAAAAUACUGGUGAGAGACACAUGGAUAAAUUAAAAAAAAAAUUAGUGGAUCAACCCCAGGACUGAACAUUAAAUAACAGGACUUGUAGGAGGAGAAAUCAGAGAGGAGGAAAUUGUCAAGAACAUAGAGGAAGCCAGGCAGUGGUGCCGCACACCUUUAAUCCCAGCACUUGGGAGGCAGAGGCAGGUGGAUUUCUGAGUUUGAGGCCAGCCUGGUCUACAGAGUGAGCUCCAGGACAGCCAGAGCUAUACGGAGAAACCCUGUCUCGAAACCGCCCCCCCACCCCCCAAAAAAAGUAAAGAAAAGAAAAGAUGAUAGAGGGAAAGCCUGGCACCUGAAGGAGCUGCUGCCUGGCUGCGGGGCCUGCCCUGUACAAGCAGCAGUGAGGAGAGCUGCACUUAGUGGUUUGCGCUUUAGAAAAAUAAACAUAAUAGAAAAUUGCAGAAGAUUUUAGAAAAACAACAGAGUUCCCCCAAGCAGAAUUUAGAAUGACAUGUAGCUUCUGUGUGGCAACUGUGGCAGCGUGCAAGCUUACUCUGCUGCUUCUAGGGGGGACAAACUUU
Molecule: long non-coding RNA, 1494 nt
Filed under: Mus musculus (house mouse)
Lineage: Eukaryota; Metazoa; Chordata; Mammalia; Rodentia; Muridae
Description: long non-coding RNA chr15:80768704-80770198
Source: RNAcentral